GCAAGUCGAACGAGAACCCUUGGAUUCGUCUGAGGGGGAGAGUGGCGAACGGGUGAGUAACACGUAGGUGACCUGCCCCGAAGAGGGGGAUAACCGCUGGAAACGGUGGCUAAUACCCCAUGUAAUCUAUUGUUCGGUCGAUAGAUUAAAGCUCGGCGCUUCGGGAGGGGCCUGCGGCCCAUCAGGUAGUUGGUAGGGUAAUGGCCUACCAAGCCGAUGACGGGUAGGGGGCGUGAGAGCGUGAUC
This 246-nucleotide ribosomal RNA is filed under the name uncultured bacterium. Its description in RNAcentral is "partial 16S ribosomal RNA". It matches the Rfam family "Bacterial small subunit ribosomal RNA", at positions 57 to 305 of the family's 1533-position model. The record is from RNAcentral.